AGUGAACGCUGGCGGUAGGCCUAACACAUGCAAGUCGAACGGCAGCACAGUAAGAGCUUGCUCUUACGGGUGGCGAGUGGCGGACGGGUGAGGAAUACAUCGGAAUCUACUUUUUCGUGGGGGAUAACGUAGGGAAACUUACGCUAAUACCGCAUACGACCUACGGGUGAAAGCAGGGGAUCUUCGGACCUUGCGCGAUUGAAUGAGCCGAUGUCGGAUUAGCUAGUUGGCGGGGUAAAGGCCCACCAAGGCGACGAUCCGUAGCUGGUCUGAGAGGAUGAUCAGCCACACUGGAACUGAGACACGGCCCAGACCCCUACGGGAGGCAGAAGUGGGAAAUAUUGGACAAUGGGCGAAAGCCUGACCAAGCCAUACCGCGUGGGUGAAGAAGGCUUUCGGGUUGUAAAGCCCUUUUGUUGGGAAAGAAAGGAAGAAGGUUAAUCCCCGGUUGUCCUGACGGUACCAAAAGAAUAGCACCGGCUAACUUCGUG
This 491-nucleotide ribosomal RNA is filed under the name uncultured bacterium. RNAcentral describes it as "partial 16S ribosomal RNA". It matches the Rfam family "Bacterial small subunit ribosomal RNA", at positions 29 to 507 of the family's 1533-position model. The record is from RNAcentral.